This is a long non-coding RNA of Episyrphus balteatus (marmalade hoverfly), 1137 nucleotides long. RefSeq lists it as uncharacterized. NCBI's taxonomy places the organism in Eukaryota, Metazoa, Arthropoda, Insecta, Diptera, Syrphidae. The record is from RefSeq and is a predicted model, not a curated record. The transcript has 5 exons.
GGUGGCAAUGAAGGACUGCAAAAAUUUGAUCUCUCUGGUUUGCUGGUACAGAGAAUCUGAUACGUUCAGACGAAUUAAGCUGGAAAACAAAGGCAAACAUGGAAUUUAAAUACGAACGCAUAAAUGUUGACAAAGAAUUCUUCAAAACACGCUCACAAAUCGGACUCAAUAACCAAGCAUAUUUCAUGCACAUAUGCAGGAAAUAUAAAAAUUAUCUAACAACACUUCCAACUAAUGGAUUACAACCUCCUCCAAAUUAUUUAUAUAAACAAAUUUCGUCAUCAACAAUAACAUCCAUACACCUUAUUUACCAGACCGAAAAUUUCAACCCGAAGUAGGCUGUAAUUAUUAGAACUGCCAAAAAAAUAACAAACAAAAAAAAAAAAAAUGGAAUAUCAAACCAACUAGAAUUGUAUAAUGGAUCAUUCACGCCCGCAUCCGCCUGUUUAGAAAAAAAAAGGAUUUUCUUUACUAAAUCUGCUGGGGCUGCAUUUUCUUUUGUUAAAAAAAAAAUGAGGAAUAUGGAGUAAUCUAAAAAGGCAAUUUCUUCUUGGUUUGGGCUUUCAAGGCCAUAUUAGUUGCAUGGGAAAUCACAUUCGCACAUUUGUUUCCAAACGUCAUUGAGUUCCUGUUAGAUGCUCAGAUAUUCGAUGUGAUUUUUUGCAAUUGCAAAUGGGCGAGUAUACGACAAUAGUGUUGUGAUAUAUUGUGAUUGGAUGGAAGGUUAAUAACUGUUCGAGUAUUUGUUGCAUCCUCUGUAUGAGAAGGUACUCAAUAUUGAGCCCAUUUUCUUUGCAUUAAGAAUUGGCGAGCGGUUUAUGAAAGAACAUAAAGCAAGAAAUAUUAUUUGGCUGUCGUGACAAAGUUUUUGUGUCCCCAUCUUUAAGAGUAUACAAAAAACUCUCCAUCUGUUCUCAUCGGUGACGGAGGAAUCAACACUUGCACCAGGUCGUGUAUAUUAAUAUGCUUGUAAGACAAAUGGAGCUUGAACGCUUGUCUUUUGAACUCCAGUUCGCCUGCCAUUUAGUAGAUGGCGCAAACCCACGUAUCUGAGAAAAAACACUUCAAAUUUAUGAUUUUGGUUGCAUUCAUACGUUAUUUUUAUUGUAAGAUGCGUUUUAAUAAAAUAAUUUUUCU